GAUGAACGUUGGCGGCGUGCCUAAUACAUGCAAGUCGAACGGAGAUUGUAGCAAUACGGUCUCAGUGGCGAACGGGUGAGUAACGCGUUGGUGACCUGCCCCGAAGUGUGGAAUAACAGAUCGAAAGAGCUGCUAAUACCGCAUAAUAUCCAGAGGAUUAGAUGCCUUUGGAUUAAAGGAUUUAUUCGCUUCGGGAGGGGCCUGCGUCCCAUCAGCUAGUUGGUAAGGUAAUGGCUUACCAAGGCGAUGACGGGUAGGGGACCUGAGAGGGUGGCCCCCCACAAUGGAACUGAAACACGGUCCAUACACCUACGGGUGGCAGCAGUAGGGAAUAUUAGUAAUGGGCGAAAGCCUGAACUAGCAACGCCGCGUGUGCGAAGAAGGCCUUCGGGUUGUAAAGCACUUUUUGAGAGGAUGAGGAAGGACGGUACUCUCAGAAUAAGUCUCGGCUAACUACGUG
This 460-nucleotide ribosomal RNA is filed under the name uncultured bacterium. Its description in RNAcentral is "bacterial SSU rRNA". It matches the Rfam family "Bacterial small subunit ribosomal RNA", at positions 28 to 507 of the family's 1533-position model. The record is from RNAcentral.